GGGCAGGGAGACCAUGUCUCAAGAUCACCCUGUCUUAAGAGGGCACAGGAUGUGAACGCAAGGUGCACGGCCCACAGCCUGUGAGACCUCCUGCUUCAAACCUCCAGGAAGGGAAGAGAGCUCCGUGCCUGGCUUUCUUCAAGCCCAAACCAACCUCCCAUCUUGAGCAAUCAAACGCGAUCCAGUCGGGCUCCCAGGAACAAAUAAUUUAAGACUGAUCCCCGACCGAACAGGAUCUUCUACUUUUCCUUUAUGGGAACGAGUUGGCCGCGCUGAGAUUCUCUCGGUGUUCCCC
Molecule: long non-coding RNA, 295 nt
Organism: Herpailurus yagouaroundi (jaguarundi)
Lineage: Eukaryota; Metazoa; Chordata; Mammalia; Carnivora; Felidae
Exons: 3
Source: RefSeq, a predicted model, not a curated record